RNAcentral lists this ribosomal RNA (883 nucleotides) under uncultured fungus. RNAcentral's name for it is "eukaryotic LSU rRNA". The stretch from base 437 to 590 matches the Rfam family "5.8S ribosomal RNA". The record is from RNAcentral. Lineage: Eukaryota; Fungi.
UCUUGGUCAUUUAGAGGAAGUAAAAGUCGUAACAAGGUUUCCGUAGGUGAACCUGCGGAAGGAUCAUUAAAGAAAUUUAAUAAUUUUGAAAAUGGAUUUUUUUUUUUGUUUUGGCAAGAGCAUGAGAGCUUUUACUGGGCAAGAAGACAAGAGAUGGAGAGUCCAGCCGGGCCUGCGCUUAAGUGCGCGGUCUUGCUAGGCUUGUAAGUUUCUUUCUUGCUAUUCCAAACGGUGAGAGAUUUCUGUGCUUUUGUUAUAGGACAAUUAAGACCGUUUCAAUACAACACACUGUGGAGUUUUCAUAUCUUUGCAACUUUUUCUUUGGGCAUUCGAGCAAUCGGGGCCCAGAGGUUAACAAACACAAACAAUUUUAUCUAUUCAUUAAAUUUUCGUCAAAAACAAGAAUUUUCGUAACUGGAAAUUUUAAAAUAUUAAAAACUUUCAACAACGGAUCUCUUGGUUCUCGCAUCGAUGAAGAACGCAGCGAAAUGCGAUACGUAAUGUGAAUUGCAGAAUUCCGUGAAUCAUCGAAUCUUUGAACGCACAUUGCGCCCCUUGGUAUUCCAGGGGGCAUGCCUGUUUGAGCGUCAUUUCCUUCUCAAACAUUCUGUUUGGUAGUGAGUGAUACUCUUUGGAGUUAACUUGAAAUUGCUGGCCCUUUCAUUGGAUGUUUUUUUUUCCAAAGAGAGGUUUCUCUGCGUGCUUGAGGUAUAAUGCAAGUACGGUCGUUUUAGGUUUUACCAACUGCGGCUAAUCUUUUUUAUACUGAGCGUAUUGGAACGUUAUCGAUAAGAAGAGAGCGUCUAGGCGAACAAUGUUCUUAAAGUUUGACCUCAAAUCAGGUAGGAGUACCCGCUGAACUUAAGCAUAUCAAUAAGCGGAG